This 253-nucleotide ribosomal RNA is filed under the name uncultured bacterium. RNAcentral describes it as "partial 16S ribosomal RNA". It matches the Rfam family "Bacterial small subunit ribosomal RNA", at positions 524 to 776 of the family's 1533-position model. The record is from RNAcentral.
UACGGGGGGUGCAAGCGUUAAUCGGAAUUACUGGGCGUAAAGGGCACGCAGGCGGACUGUUAAGUGAGAUGUGAAAUCCCCGGGCUUAACCUGGGAAUUGCAUUUCAUACUGGGAGUCUAGAGUCCUGUAGGGAGGGGUAGAAUUCCACGUGUAGCGGUGAAAUGCGUAGAGAUGUGGAGGAAUACCGAUGGCGAAGGCGGCCCCCUGGGCAUGUACUGACGCUCAGGUGCGAAAGCGUGGGGAGCAAACAGG